UACGUAGGGUGCGAGCGUUGUCCGGAAUUAUUGGGCGUAAAGAGCUUGUAGGCGGUUUGUCGCGUCUGCUGUGAAAAUCCGGGGCUCAACCCCGGACUUGCAGUGGGUACGGGCAGACUAGAGUGUGGUAGGGGAGACUGAAAUUCCUGGUGUAGCGGUGAAAUGCGCAGAUAUCAGGAAGAACACCGAUGGCGAAGGCAGGUCUCUGGCCACUACUGACGCUGAGAAGCGAAAGCAUGGGGAGCGAACAGG
RNAcentral lists this ribosomal RNA (252 nucleotides) under uncultured bacterium. RNAcentral describes it as "partial 16S ribosomal RNA". It matches the Rfam family "Bacterial small subunit ribosomal RNA", at positions 524 to 776 of the family's 1533-position model. The record is from RNAcentral.